This 2042-nucleotide long non-coding RNA is filed under the name Nicotiana benthamiana. Its description in RNAcentral is "long non-coding RNA (NBEN_LNC012564)". The record is from RNAcentral. Lineage: Eukaryota; Viridiplantae; Streptophyta; Magnoliopsida; Solanales; Solanaceae.
AAUUUUUCUAAAAUAAAUUAAGAUACUAUAAUUGUCUUAUAGUACAAAACAGUUGCACCUACAUGGUAAUUUAAAAAGUUUAAACAUGGUUAUUUUCAUAGUUUUUCGAGCAGUAGAAUUCUAAACCACAUUCUUUGCUCUUCAGAUUUGGAAACCUAACCAGCUUUCUCAAGCCCUCCAACGAUAAGAUCGAUUCUUGAAACGGUGUCCAUGAUUCGGCCUUUCCUCGAUUCCCCAUCUUUAGAUCUGGAAUCCUUUAUUGAAAAAAUAAAAGGAAAGGACAAAAUUGAAUCAGCAAAUAGAAAUACAGAUGGGACACUAAGGAAAGUAUGAGGAAAUAUAUUAAAAGCACAUUUAUUUAACUUAGUCAAACUAGAGUUCCUCGUAUUUCUAGGGUUUUCACACAGUUACUCACAAAAAUAAAAUUAUUUAUCUUUAUUUAUCUAUUUAUUUUCCUACCCAUAAACUAAUUACAUAUUUCUACAAUAAUAGAUUUUUUAUGGGAAAUUUUUUCUUUAUUCUCCAAUUCCUUUAUAUUUCUAUGCUUCUUUUCUUUUCUUUUUUAUUUUUUUCUUUUCUCCUUUUCUUUUUUCUCGUUUACUUCUUAUUUUCUUCUUUUUUCUUUUUCUAAUUUCAUUUAACUUCUUUUUUAUAUUCUUUUUUCUUCAUAAUCUAAUUUCAUUUACUGUUCUCACUAUUUUUUAUUAUUUUUUUAAUAUUAUUACUAAAUAAAAAUCAAAUAGUGUACCAAUUAAAUGUAGCCAAUACAACCAAAUAAAUAUUAACUAACAUAUGAUACCAGUAUAGUAUAUAACUAUAUCAACAGGAUAUACAAUUCUAUGCUUAUUAAAUUAAAAUAAUAUUAGUUGUCAAUAAAAAAAUUUAAAAAUUCUAAAAGGAUCUAAUUGUAAGAGUAUACUAUUACGUUAUAUAGCAUUUUAUUUUUAUUUUUGCAUUUUUAAUUUGUCCCUCACGCUGGGUAAAAACAUAAAAGAAAUUAAAAGGGAAAAGGCAAUUAAAUUUACGGGUAAUAAAUAAACUAUUAUAGUAUAUUGUAUACUAUUACAGCAUAUUGUUACAAUAUCUUGCAUAUUAUACAAUAUACCAUAACAAUAUAUUAUAUACUAUAAUAGUAUAUUAUUGCAUUAUAACUAUAUACUCCUAUAGUAUAUUAGUAUACUGUAGCAGUAUACUGUUUUGUAAACUAUAAUAUGCACUGUUGCAGUAUAGCUAUAUACUCCUACAGCAUAUUGUAUGCCGUAGCGGCAUACUGUAGCUGUUUUCUUCGAUUUUAAACUGAAAAUUUCAAUCUCAAUCACCUCAAAUCAGCUCCAAAUGCUAUCAAAUUUUAAUAUGAACUUCCAAAGAUUAUUAUAAGCAAUAUUUAACAGCGCCCACUUUGAAUCAAACAAGAAAUCUUCAAAAAUAAAAUUGAAUUUCAAGCCCAACAAUGGUGGAUAAUGGAAAAUAUUAGCAUGGGACCAGAGACGUAAAUGACUAGAGACUUCUGUAAAUGCCAUACCCACAAGUAUUAUUACUGCUAGACAAAACUAAGGAUAUUCUUUUGGAGUUUGAAUCUCUAUUUCACAACUUGAGGUUCUUUUUCAAGAUUCCUUAUUUGCGGAAACUAUUUCAUUAAAGUUCGUACUCAACAACUAAAGCCCUCAAAUAUUUAAUUGCAUGGCAGAAAAAAAAUUAUGAGGUUGCUGGACAAGAUAAUAGAGAAAAGAAGAAAAUCCAAAGAAAAGUUUGAUGAUUUUCUAUCUUGGCUUUUGUUUGCAGGUUGCGGCUGAAAAAUUAACGGGUAAUUAAUUUGGACCCCAUGGGUAGGAAUACUAAAGCUCAGCUUUUGUUUGCAGGGUGCGGCUAGAAAAUUAGCGAGUAAUUAAUUUGGGUCUCAUGGGUAGGAAUAGUAAAUAGUUUGGGCAUGGGCAUUAAAGGAUAAAAAAAGAAACUACAGAAUAUUACCUCUACUCCAGUCCGUUAGGAUGAGAGAAUCACCAGUGACCAAUCAUGACUCUGAGCUCUCAGCAGAAACAAUU